Long non-coding RNA from Helianthus annuus (common sunflower), 1777 nucleotides. RefSeq lists it as uncharacterized. The record is from RefSeq and is a predicted model, not a curated record. Lineage: Eukaryota; Viridiplantae; Streptophyta; Magnoliopsida; Asterales; Asteraceae. The transcript is spliced from 9 exons.
UCCUAUCCUGCUCUCAUUUCUCUCUCUCUCUCUCCUCCGAGUUCUCUUUCAUCUUGUUCAAGGAAAAAUCCUAAACUCACAAAAUGGUGUCAUAGUAGAAUGGAAAUUGGAGGCUGGAUCUGGAACAAAUAUGGGUUUGCAAAGAGAGAGCGAGCAAAUGUUAGAAAGAGGGAGAAAAUCGGUGGCAUUUGGCUCUGGUUUUGAAUUUUGAAACUGGAUUUUGGCUCCACAAAACCUGGACACGGCUUUUCUUUACAUCGCCCAUUCUCUCUCUACAGCAACAACCGUUUUUCAUCUCCAGUCGUUCUUCACCAGCCAUCCACCGCUAACAGAUCUAGGGUUUUCUCAUUCGAAAUGGUUCUUAGAUCUAGAUACUUACGGGCGAUUCACCGUACGGUUCUGAAUCCCUAACCUUGGUUUGCUCAUCUUUGUUAUUGUUUAUGGAUAUGGUGGUGGUUCUUGCGUCUCAACAAAUGAUGUUCUUCCCCUAUGGUCAUCAAGGACUUUAUUCCACUGGUUGGUGAGGAUUUGAAGAAAUUGUUGUUAGUCACUUUCAUCUCUACGAAUUAGCUACUGGAGACUUGAUUCUGAGCCUAAAUGUCCAUCUAUUGGUUGAUUAAUUUGAGGCAAAUGGAAGGAGAGUUUGCACUGAAUAUCGAAGUGUUUUGGUUGAAUGGAAUUCCUUCACAUCUCCGGUUAAAGAUCGUCUUUUGGGUAUUAAUAAUCUUAAAUCAAAUCUGCUGUCACCAGCUUUGCAGUCCGCAUUUUCUAGUCUAACGAGGCCAAAUCCAACUGGCAGGGGAGAAACCUGUGCAGAGACGUCUGCUAAUUUGUUUUUUUAGCCAGAUUGUGAAGCUAGCUGCUCUUAGAAUUAAUGGAAUGGUUGAAAGACUACGGCUGUCGCAAGAAAUAAGAGAGAGGGUAUAUUGUCUUUUUCAGUAGAUUCUGAGCCAGCGAACCGCGUUGUUUUUCAACCGUCAUAUCGACCAGAUUAUCUUAUGUUGUUUCUACAGAGUUGCAAAGAUUUCCCAACUAAGCUUAACUUUCAAAGAGAUCAUCUACAACUAUAGAAAACAACCUCAUUGUAAACCUCAAGUUUUCGGUGCUGUGUUUGUUGAUGACAGGGCAUCUUCUCGGUCCAAUGGGGUAUAUAAAGGAAGUCUUCCGAACGGGCAGCUGAUUGCAAUCAAAAGAGCUCAAGAAGGAUCUUCACAGGGUGGGCUCGAGUUUAAAAAUGAGAUCGAACUUCUUUCAAGAGUUCAUGACAAGAAUGUGGUGGGCCUCAUCGGAUUUUGUUUCGAUAAGGGUGAACAAAUGCUGGUUUAUGAGUAUAUCGUGAAUGGGACACUCAAGGAUAGUCUUUCCGAGUUUAUUCAACAAGAUUAACAAGAAGACAAUUAUGUCCUAGACCACGAUGAGUAGCGUGAGACUUCAUAAGACUUGAAAAAUAAUACCAGCAGCGCUACUUGACUUGAGUAGCGGGAGACUUAACAAUAAUUAUACAUUGUGGGUAUCGGGUUGUUUUUCCAAGCUUUGGGGAGCGUUAUUUGUCAACGGUGCUAUUUGAUUCUGUGAGGAAUGAAGUAGAAAACUUACCAGUCGAGUGAGUCAUUGAUCACAAGGCGGAGUUGUAAGACCGCGUGUUAUUUGGCUGGGAAAGAACAUCUUUCUUUUUAUUUUAAAGAAAUUGUACUUACUUGAUUAUCAACUGAACCAAUUGUUGUUGAACAGUUUAUAAGUAUUUGAUUAUUGGCCAAGAAAUGGUUUCUAACUAAAA